UACAGAGGUCCCGAGCGUUGUUCGGAUUCACUGGGCGUAAAGGGUGCGUAGGUGGUGAGGUAAGUCGGAUGUGAAAUCUCCAAGCUCAACUUGGAAACUGCAUUGGAAACUACCUUGCUUGAGGUUUUGAGGGGGGAUUGGAAUACUUGGUGUAGCAGUGAAAUGCGUAGAUAUCAAGUGGAACACCAGUGGCGAAGGCGAAUCCCUGGAAAACACCUGACACUGAGGCACGAAAGCUAGGGGAGCAAACAGG
This 253-nucleotide ribosomal RNA is filed under the name uncultured bacterium. RNAcentral describes it as "partial 16S ribosomal RNA". It matches the Rfam family "Bacterial small subunit ribosomal RNA", at positions 524 to 776 of the family's 1533-position model. The record is from RNAcentral.